GUGUAUACACACACACACACUCUGUAUACAAAUAUAUACUCUGUGUGUGUGUAUAAUGUGUGUGUGUAUGUGUGUGUGUGUGUGUGUAUAU
Podarcis lilfordi (Lilford's wall lizard) is the source of this 91-nucleotide non-coding RNA. Lineage: Eukaryota; Metazoa; Chordata; Lepidosauria; Squamata; Lacertidae. The record is from the annotation of a GenBank genome assembly.